GCUGGAUUACCAGAGGAUCUAUGACAACAUGGAAAAGCCAGCUUUUGUUUUUGAUGGGCGCAAUGUGGUCGACUUGGACAAGCUCAGGGCGAUCGGCUUUAUCGUCUACUCAAUUGGGAAGCCGCUGGAUGCGUGGCUUAAGGAUAUGCCUGCUGUGGCAUAAACAGAGAGUAAAGCGGUUUCAAUUGAUACCAUGUUUCGUGCUUUCGAUAGUUAUAUUAUUUUGGACAGUUCAGU
This 237-nucleotide unclassified non-coding RNA is filed under the name Hevea brasiliensis (rubber tree). Lineage: Eukaryota; Viridiplantae; Streptophyta; Magnoliopsida; Malpighiales; Euphorbiaceae. The record is from RNAcentral.